GACGAACGCUGGCGGCGUGCUUAACACAUGCAAGUCGAACGGAAAGGCCCUGCUUUUGUGGGGUGCUCGAGUGGCGAACGGGUGAGUAACACGUGAGUAACCUGCCCUUGACUUUGGGAUAACUUCAGGAAACUGGGGCUAAUACCGGAUAGGAGCUCCUGCUGCAUGGUGGGGGUUGGAAAGUUUCGGCGGUUGGGGAUGGACUCGCGGCUUAUCAGCUUGUUGGUGGGGUAGUGGCUUACCAAGGCUUUGACGGGUAGCCGGCCUGAGAGGGUGACCGGCCACAUUGGGACUGCGAUACGGCCCAGACUCCUACGGGAGGCAGCAGUGGGGAAUAUUGCACAAUGGGCGGAAGCCUGAUGCAGCAACGCCGCGUGCGGGAUGACGGCCUUCGGGUUGUAAACCACUUUCGCCUGUGACGAAGCGUGAGUGACGGUAAUGGGUAAAGAAGCACCGGCUAACUACGUG
This 468-nucleotide ribosomal RNA is filed under the name uncultured bacterium. Its description in RNAcentral is "partial 16S ribosomal RNA". It matches the Rfam family "Bacterial small subunit ribosomal RNA", at positions 28 to 507 of the family's 1533-position model. The record is from RNAcentral.